RNAcentral lists this ribosomal RNA (404 nucleotides) under uncultured bacterium. RNAcentral describes it as "bacterial SSU rRNA". It matches the Rfam family "Bacterial small subunit ribosomal RNA", at positions 355 to 774 of the family's 1533-position model. The record is from RNAcentral.
UGGGGAAUAUUGCACAAUGGGCGCAAGCCUGAUGCAGCAACGCCGCGUGAAUGAUGAAGGCCUUCGGGUCGUAAAGUUCUGUCCAAAGGGAAGAAUACAGUGACGGUACCUUUGGAGGAAGCCCCGGCUAACUACGUGCCAGCAGCCGCGGUAAUACGUAGGGGGCAAGCGUUAUCCGGAAUCACUGGGCGUAAAGGGAGCGUAGGCGGUUUGACAAGCCAGGGGUGAAAGGCAAUAGCUUAACUAUUGUAAGCCUUUGGAACUGUCGAACUUGAGUGCAGGAGAGGAAAGUGGAAUUCCUAGUGUAGCGGUGAAAUGCGUAGAUAUUAGGAGGAACACCAGUGGCGAAGGCGACUUUCUGGACUGUAACUGACGCUGAGGCUCGAAAGCGUGGGGAGCGAACA